RNAcentral lists this ribosomal RNA (301 nucleotides) under uncultured bacterium. Its description in RNAcentral is "partial 16S ribosomal RNA". It matches the Rfam family "Bacterial small subunit ribosomal RNA", at positions 509 to 807 of the family's 1533-position model. The record is from RNAcentral.
CAGUCGCCGCGGUAAUACGGAGGGUGCAAGCGUUACUCGGAAUUACUGGGCGUAAAGCGUGCGUAGGUGGUGGUUUAAGUCCGUUGUGAAAGCCCUGGGCUCAACCUGGGAAUUGCAGUGGAUACUGGGUCACUAGAGUGUGGUAGAGGAUAGUGGAAUUUCCGGUGUAGCAGUGAAAUGCGUAGAGAUCGGGAGGAACAUCAGUGGCGAAGGCGGCCAUCUGGGACAACACUGACGCUGAGGCACGAAAGCGUGGGGAGCAAACAGGAUUAGAUACCCCCGUAGUCCCUGUCUCUUAUAC